Drosophila persimilis is the source of this 658-nucleotide long non-coding RNA. RefSeq lists it as uncharacterized. The transcript has 2 exons. NCBI's taxonomy places the organism in Eukaryota, Metazoa, Arthropoda, Insecta, Diptera, Drosophilidae. The record is from RefSeq and is a predicted model, not a curated record.
UCUUGGUCUAGUCGCUGUGCUUUGCUUUUGCGCCACCAAAUCGAUGGCAGAUAAUGGCAAACAAAUAAGCUCGGCAAACAUGUCGAGCUAUACAUUUAUUAAAAACUUGACGGACGUUACCAAAAUUAAGUGCUACCUAUAUUGGAUGUCCAGACUUGUCAAGAAUUCAGGAAAUAUAGUUUCUGAGUUGGCAAAAUGUGUCAAACAAUUUGGCGACAAAGCAAUGCGCGUAGUGACCGCCUUCAAAGAGCUUGUCGCAGUAAUCAGGCCCAUUUUUGAGGCCUGUACGGGUAUAAUCGUGGAUAAAGUCGUCGGUGGAGCAGCUUGUUUGAAAGCAUUUACACUAAAUGCUUUCUCUUUGUUUAGAGCAUUGAAAAAGUUCCACGACGAGGUUAACAGUGAACCACAAAGUAAAACCGCGUGCGCCAAGAUGGCGCUUGAAGAAUAUUUUGAAGCUUCCAGUGUUUACGAAGUCAUCGAUAGCUGUAUAUAUCCGGGUAAUACAACAAAUACUAAAGCUGAAGUGACUUCCAAACCUACUGAUCGGCCAUUCUACAAAAAACUAAUACCUUUUAUUUGACUAAACAAUACAUUCGAGGCUACCUGAUGAGAAGCUGUCAUUAAAAGAAUGCAUAAAGUAAAUAUACAUACAUAAGUG